Molecule: long non-coding RNA, 1416 nt
Organism: Benincasa hispida (wax gourd)
Lineage: Eukaryota; Viridiplantae; Streptophyta; Magnoliopsida; Cucurbitales; Cucurbitaceae
Source: RefSeq, a predicted model, not a curated record
AAGUUCAAAAUAUCAUUGCAGACAUCCUCUUUCUUUAGACGUCCAGUUCUUGUGAACUUCCCGAGCUUCACGCAUGAAUGAUCAAAUAUAAUAUCUGCAGUUGUUGUUGAUAGAACAUGGGAACGAGUCACCAAAAGCAAAGGUUCUGAGUGGUGGUACUCGUUGGGCUGAUUUCCAGUGUAUGUGCAAAAGAGUUCAUGGUUUUUGUGACUUUUGAAAAGGAUUAAGAGGGAAAUUAUUCAAGGGUAUGUAAUUUCUUCUUCCUUUCCUCUUAAUUAGAAAGUAUGCGUAUAAUUAUUUAACAAUGUUUAUCCUCUGUGAUUUUGUAUGAAUUUCUCUGCAUUUUCAUUGUUUCGAAAUUGAAAUAAUUGCACGACAUUCACACCCUUCCACGAGAAAUCCUAUUCCUUCAAUUGGUAUCAUAGUCAAAUCAUGCAUUUGUUUUUCAAUUUUGAAAAGAAAAUCAGACAAAAGGUGGGUGUUCGGCAUCAUGAAUGUUGGUUUGCAAAAAUGGAUAAUUUCAAGUUUCGACACUUAGAUUUACUACUUUAAUGUUGAUCAAUGUUGUAAGAGACUGUUGUUUUUUGCAAUUUAUUUUAUGCUAUCAAGUCUAUAAUCCUAUGUCGAUUGAGGAGUUAGAGUCGCUAAGAAGAUCGGUGGAAAACGAAGCAAAAACAGGACAAGAACGAAGCAGAAAAAUGCAUUUUGUGCUAGAGUGUAAAGAAGAGUAUUGCAACGCUAAGAUUUACUCAACGGAACACGGAACCCAACGUUGUGGCGCUUGGCGACAACGUCACAACACUGCUAUCGAGCGUCGCGAUUCUGGAGGAAGCGUAGCGUUACACUACGGCAUAAACAUCGCGCCAUUCUCCAAUAGCGUCGUGGUGCUCUGAGGUUGCACACACGCAUUCCAGGCAGUGUCAUGACCCUUGCUUAACGCUGACGCGCGACGCUUGAAGGCAGGAGGCAAGAAAAAAGGGCAGCAUCGCAACACUACCCUCAACGUUGCAACACUACGUAGAUUGACAGAGUUCCAACGAAUCCACCACCUCAUCGCAACCAAGCAUAGCAUCAGAGUUGUAACGCUCAAGGUCUAAAUUGUGUAAGAGCGUUGCAAUGCUAUCAUCAAUGCUGCAACGCUACACCUGUGAUAUAAAAGCAAAAUUUUGCACUUUUACAGGGAAGACCAAAACACAACUCGAUUUUCUCUCAAUUUUUCUUAGCUUUUUGCACUUUUUCUUUCAUUCCUUCCUUACCUUUGAUGCAUCCAUGCUAUUCCUUGGUCAAAUCUUGAAGAAGAUGCAACAUUAAGGUAAGUAUUCUAGUUUAGUUUAGGAAGAUUCUUAAUCUUCUUGGUAUGAGGCUGAAUCUUUAAUAAUUUAUCAUGUAAUUUCUUGAAUUCUGUAACAAACUCUU